Molecule: long non-coding RNA, 776 nt
Organism: Daphnia pulex (common water flea)
Lineage: Eukaryota; Metazoa; Arthropoda; Branchiopoda; Diplostraca; Daphniidae
Exons: 5
Source: RefSeq, a predicted model, not a curated record
GUCAGUGGUUGUCAAAAGCUUUCCUGUUUUUCCAUGAAAAUUACCGAUGAAUUCAUCAGUAAAUUCAAGUUCUUUUCUGUGCAACUUGUUUGCGAUGGGAUUUAUUCUGAUGUGUGCUGGAUCAAAUUAAAAAUUCCUCAAUCUAACCUGCAUGAAGGAACGGGAAAGGACAGUAGCAUACAAGCAACCUACCAUCACUACCACCAACUCUUUUAUUAAAAAUCUUCGUUCUGCUGAAUGCAUCAUGCAGUCAAAACAGGCCAUGGGUAAUCUUCAGGUCUUUGCAGCAGCUUAAGAGAAGAAUAUGAACAAAUGCAGGGCAACUUACCAACAUGUGUUGUAUUUUUCUGAAUGUUAAACACGAGCAGUAGAUUCAACAUGACUAACUGUUGGAUGCCAAAGUUAGUUGGAACUCAACUCACUGUACAUACUCGUCAAUAGGUGGCAUUGAAUAAGUGGCUGUAUGAUGUCCAGCAGAUAGCGCGAGUGUCUUCAGGGACGCUUCCCUUAGCGGCCAUUUUGAUCCAAGACGCAGAAGAAAAGGGUUGUUGGUUGUGACGUUUCUCACGAUGAAAAUUAAAAGGUGAUUUGGCAUGUAGAAACCAAUUUGUCAAAUCAUUCAACUCAGACUUGGGAAGUGCCUGUACAUUUCCGAAAUGGCGUGCCUCGUGUGUCUCGCUGCCUGUUCUUUGGCUUACGUCUCACCCCAUUCAACAGUAAAAAGUAAAACGAAUGCUGGUGGUUACCUUGUUGCAGCCAAAUGGUGAAAGGUGUGA